CGAACGGAGAUUAUACGCAGAGGCGAUUUCGGUCAAAUCAUGUAAAAUCUUAGUGGCGGACGGGUGAGUAACGCGUGGGUAACCUGCCUUACACUGGGGGAUAACACUUAGAAAUAGGUGCUAAUACCGCAUAAGCGCACGAAGCCGCAUGGAUUUGUGUGAAAAACUCCGGUGGUGUAAGAUGGACCCGCGUCUGAUUAGCUUGUUGGCGGGGUAACGGCCCACCAAGGCGACGAUCAGUAGCCGGCCUGAGAGGGUGGACGGCCACAUUGGGACUGAGACACGGCCCAAACUCCUACGGGAGGCAGCAGUGGGGGAUAUUGGACAAUGGGGGGAACCCUGAUCCAGCGACGCCGCGUGAGUGAAGAAGUAUUUCGGUAUGUAAAGCUCUGUCAGCAGGGAAGAAAGAAAUGACGGUACCUGACCAAGAAGCCCCGGCUAACUACGUGCCAGCAGCCGCGGUAAUACGUAGGGGGCAAGCGUUAUCCGGAAUUACUGGGUGUAAAGGGAGCGUAGACGGUUAAGUAAGUCUGGAGUGAAAGGCCGGGGCCCACCCCCNNNNCUNCUCUCCCCCCUNUUCCCCUUNNNUCCCCNCCCCCUCCGCCCCCUUCCUNNUNUNNCGNUGAAAUGCGUAGAUCUUAGGGAGAACACCUGUGGCGNGGGCGGCUUCCUGGCCUGUNNCUGNCGUUGCGGCUCGCCGGCGUGGGGGGCCCUCUUAAGGUAGNUNCCCUGGUAGUCCACGCCGUAAACGAUCCCUUAAAGGUGUCGGUGGGUAUGGACCCAUCGGGGCCGCAGCAAACGCAGUAAGUAAUCCACCUGGGGAGUACGUUCGCAAGAAUGAAACUCAAAGGAAUUGACGGGGACCCGCACAAGCGGUGGAGCAUGUGGUUUAAUCCGAAGCAACGCGAAGAACCUUACCAAGUCUUGACAUCCUCUUGAAUAAAGGGUAAUGCCUUUAGGCCUUCGGGACAAGAGAGACAGGUGGUGCAUGGUUGUCGUCAGCUCGUGUCGUGAGAUGUUGGGUUAAGUCCCGCAACGAGCGCAACCCUUAUCUUCAGUAGCCAGCAGGUAAAGCUGGGCACUCUGGAGAGACUGCCGGGGAUAACCCGGAGGAAGGUGGGGAUGACGUCAAAUCAUCAUGCCCCUUAUGAUUUGGGCUACACACGUGCUACAAUGGCGUAAACAGAGGGAAGCGAGCCCGCGAGGGGGAGCAAAUCCCAAAAAUAACGUCCCAGUUCGGAUUGUAGUCUGCAACCCGACUACAUGAAGCUGGAAUCGCUAGUAAUC
This 1287-nucleotide ribosomal RNA is filed under the name uncultured bacterium. Its description in RNAcentral is "bacterial SSU rRNA". It matches the Rfam family "Bacterial small subunit ribosomal RNA", at positions 63 to 1343 of the family's 1533-position model. The record is from RNAcentral.